CCUUUUUAAUGAGUUGUGGUGCUGCUGAUUCUGCGCUUGUUUCGGGCAAAAGGGUUGAUGAACCACUCUGGUUUGUAGGAAAAAAGUAUGUAUCCAAUCACCCAUCCAAAGGCAAAACCAGGUAUGACUCCUAUUACAACUGCUAUCCAACUCAACACCUCUUCCUCUUCUUCUUCUUCCUCUGAAUCCAACGUUUCAUGCGGUGUUGGCGUGUGAAUAUCUCUGCAAAUUUCGUCAAGAGAAGGGCCAGAAAGUCCCGGAUUACCGUCAAAGGAAGUGCAGUUCAGCCUUUGAAACUGAGUGCCUCCUGGUACUAGACCUGUAAGCUGGUUAUGAGAGAAGUUCAUGUACGAAAGGAAUGAGAGGCUCCCUAGCUCUUCCGGAAUUUCUCCUGAAAGCUGGUUUUGGGAAACGUCCAGUGACUCAAGAGCUGUCAGGUUUCCCAUAGAUGAAGGGAUGUGGCCGGUGAAAGCAUUGUUGGACAAGUUGAGCACAAGAAGCUCUUUCAAUAGACCAAUGGACCUUGGGAUCUCUCCUUCAAAUUUGUUUCCUGAAAAGUCGAGUGCUGUGUAGAUCUUCAGGAUACGUACUAGCUCCAUCUCUAAACCUUUAUUCACCAACACCGUUGAAUCUUGGUAAAAGUAAUCUCUCAUGUACAUUUCAUGUGGCUGAUCAUAAGUUGUACCAAGUGAUGACAUAGCACUCCACUUCACAAAGUAGUCUGAUGGCAAAGUUCCAUUGAAGUGAUUGUGCGAUAUGUCGACGAUUCGCAACUUAGAGAACGAAGUUUGAUGUAUCGGUCCAGCGAAGGCGUUGGAGCGUAACACAAGAACUUUUAGUUAGGGCUGGGCAAAUAAACCGAACCCGAAAACCCGAACCGAAUCCGAUCCGAUAAAAAUGAAUCCGAACCGAUCCGAACCCGAUGUAAAUACCGAAUGGGUCUUGUUUUGUGGUAUUUUGGGUUAUGAGUAUUAUCCGAACCGAACCCGAAUCUAAAUGGAUAUCCGAUAGAACCCGAAACAUUCAAAACCUCGAAAAGAUCUUGUACCAAACAUGAUCUCAAUUCCUAAUAUGUAUCCAAAAUACACUAAGAAAUAUUGAACAUCUAAAAUACUUAUCUAUUACAUGAAGGUUGUUGGUUCUAUUACAUGAAGGUUGAUGGAUAAAGAUGGCCGUUGAAUCUUGAAGUAUUUAGAUUUUGAUUUUGUUUUCGGUAACAAUGUUUCAUUUCAUGAGAACUUGGUUUUCGUUUUAUGUUUUUAUUUAUUUAGUUUUCUUUUAUGUUCCUUAUUUUUGAAUCGAUUUUACUUAAGUUUUGGUUAUAAAAUAGGUACAAAUCAGAUAUUUUAAAACUAAAGAACCGAUUUUAGUCAUGUUUUGGUUAUAAAAUAGGUAAAAAUCAAGUACUUUUAAACCGAAAAACCGAUUGGGACCCGAACCCGAAAAUAUAUUGGGUUGUACCGGUUCUUUGAAGAUUUACUAACCCCGACCCGAACCCGAUAGAACCCGAACCGGUCCCGAACCGAACUUUCAUAUAAUCCGAAUGGAGCUGAUUUUGAUAAACCCGAAAAACCGAAACCCGAUUGGAUAAAACCGAAACCCGAUUGGGACCCCGAAUGCCCAGGCCUACUUUUAGUUGUGGUAGAUAACUCAGCCAGUACGGAAACGUGUCAUUGAUAAUGUUGCUUUCCACAUUCAAAACUUCAAGACUAGUAAAAUGAAUCAAAGUUCUUGGAAGCUUUCCCGUCAGUUGGUUAUGACCGACGUCAAGCGUUAUUAAGCUUUCAAAUAUAUUCUCAGGAAGACCUCCAUGAAGACGAUUCUGACGAAGGUUUAGAACUUCAAGAGAACGGUUGAGAUUACCCAGACAACGAGGGAUUAAACCACUGCAGUUGUUGUUUGAUAAAUCAAGAAUGUAUACAGAGCGCAAAUCACAUAUGAAAGAGGGAAUCUCUCCCGUAAAAUUGUUGUUGGAGGCAAGGAAGAUUAGGCUAGAUAGCCUUGAAACUAAAACUGUUGUUAAGUUUCCGAAGCCAGUGAAAGUGUUGUUGGAAAGAUUCAGGUAAGUAAGAUUUGGUAGCGUCCAUAACCAGCCAGGCACUUGUCCUUUGAUUUUAUUGUUUGAAAUGUCUAGACUCUCCAAAUUUUUCAAUCUUGCAAACUCCGGAAACUCGGUGAUACCACAGCCUGACAAUUGCAACUCAGGCAACAAAGAUGGAUCUGAAACUGGACUCUUGUUUGUGAAUGAAACAAGGUUGCCUGAGAGAACCAACACACGGAGCCUCUUAAAAUAUGACAAGAAAUCAUUCAAGUCAAUGGUAGUGGUCGUGUUCAAAUGGGUUAGGUGAAGAUCUUCGAGCCACUUGAGAUGCGAGAAGAUAUUAAAGUCAAUUGGACCUUGUGUCUUGUAAUUGGAAAGGUGAAGUUCUACAAGGUUGGUAAAUUUUGAUAUCGUGGCUGGGAUUGGCCCUCUCAAGUUGUUAUUGCCAACGUAUAACAGUCCUAGCUGAGGUGGUGAAGAUAUAUUCCCAAGGUCAAGAAUACCAUUGAAUCGGUUAUCAGACAAUCUAACAUAUUCAAUAGAAGGAAUGGUGAAGAGAGAAGAAGGCAGGGUUCCAGUGAAAGCGUUGUUACUUCCAUCAAAGGUCGUCAAUUUGGAUAGUGAAGUGAUGUUAUGAGGAAUUGUUCCUGUGAACUGAUUGUAAUAGAGUCCUAAAUAUGACAACUUUGUCAAAUUCAGUAGUUCAAUGGGAAAGCUUCCAUUGAGCCUAUUGAGACCAACAUUUAAGCUGGUCAACUGGUUUAGAUUGCCAAAAGAAGAUGGGAUUUCUCCAACAAUCUCGUUCCCAGAAAGGUCAAGAUAAGUGAGGUUAUAAAGAUUUCCAAUAGAAGAUGGAAUCUUACCCGAAAUUUGAUUCAAAUGAAGGUUAAGAUAGGUGAGAUGAGAAAGGUUUCCAAUUGAAGAUGGAAUCGGACCAGAAAAACUAUUAGAUGAAAGAUCGAGAAAGGUGAGAUUCGAAAGGUCUAUAAUCGAAGAAAAAAUGAACUCGCUGAACUGAUUAAGUGAAAGGUCGAGAGAGGUGAUAUGAGAAAGGUUUUUAAUUGAAGACAUGAUUUGACCACUAAAACGAUUUCUUGAAAGGUCUAGGGUGGUUAGAGAAUGAAGGUUUUGAAGACUGCUAUUGGAAUGAAACCGGCCACCUAGGUAGCUGCAACUAAGGUCUAGCUCGAUCACUUCACCGGACUUGACGUUGCACGUGAUUGUAACGUCCCGACCCGCCCACGGCUAAUAGGCCACCCACGCCCGCUCUCUCGGCCCGUGGGCCCCAUCCCGUCUGACGGUCGGUCCGUUAAUUUUCCAAAGGCUCGAAAUCAUUGUUUACUGACCCUGCAAUCACCACCCGACCUUUUCCCAUGCUUUGGCCUCACUCGCACGCUAUCGCGAAUCACUUCCCGAUAGGUCACCCAUCCUUCCACUACUCCAGCUCAAGCACGCUUAACUCUGGAGUUCUUUCAGGAUGUGUUCCGGAAAAGGUAAGUCAACUUUGGUGACAUAGGUAGCCAAAUCAAUUAUCUUAAGCCUUUUUCACAUAUCACAACUCGGGAUGUUACAAUUCACCCCAUCUCAAAGAACGCAACGUCCUCGUUGCGCCCCAUGACAGGUCUUAAGACGCCUCUCAGGUCAGAACUGAGACGGCUAACCAGCUCUGAUACCACUUAUAACGCCCCGACCCGCCCACGGCUAAUGGGCCACCCACGCCCGCUCUCUCGGCCCGUGGGCCCCAUCCCGUCUGACGGUCGGUCCGUUAAUUUUCCAAAGGCUCGAAAUCAUUGUUUACUGACCCUGCAAUCACCACCCGACCUUUUCCCAUGCUUUGGCCUCACUCGCACGCUAUCGCGAAUCACUUCCCGAUAGGUCACCCAUCCUUCCACUACUCCAGCUCAAGCAUGCUUAACUCUGGAGUUCUUUCAGGAUGUGUUCCGGAAAAGGUAAGUCAACUUUGGUGACAUAGGUAGCCAAAUCAAUUCUCUUAAGCCUUUUUCACAUAUCACAACUCGGGAUGUUACAAUUUCCCACCAAAGGUUAUCGGAAUGGGAAACCUGAAAGAACUCCAGAGUUAAGCGUGCUUGAGCUGGAGUAGUGGAAGGAUGGGUGACCUAUCGGGAAGUGAUUCGCGAUAGCGUGUGAGUGAGGCCAAAGCACGGGAAAAGGUCGGGUGGUGAUUGCAGGGUCAGUAAACAAUGAUUUCGGGUCUUAGAAAAUUAACGGACUGACCGUCAGACGGGAUGGGGCCCACGGGCCGAGUGAGCGGGCGUGGGUGGCCCAUUAGCCGUGGGCGGGUCGGGGCGUUAUAAGUGGUAGGGAUUGUCGGAGUAGGCCAUUUGGUGCACGGGGAGUAGCACCAGCAGCACCAGCAGGACAGGCAGCACCAGCAGGACAGGCAGCACCAGCAGCACAGCCAGCACCAGUAGCACAGGGAGCGCAGGCAGCACCAGCUGCACCAUACGCACCAGGAGCUUGCUUCACUUGUGGCCAGUUUGGCCAUAUCUCCAGGUUUUGCCCGACUAAAGGGCCUGGGGCCAAGCGUCAAGCCAUCACCCCGCGUGUUUAUGCUCUAGGAGAGGCCAAUGGAGCUGAGCCGAUAGCCGGUAUGUAUCCUUAUCAUUUCUUUUUUUUUUUUUUGAGUAAUUGUGUUUUGGUGGAUAUCUAGUUAGAAAAAAAAAAAAAAGUCGACUUUUUUUGUGACAACCCGCCCCGUGGGAACUACCCGCCCCUUGGGCCCCAGGCUCACAGCGCUGCAGCGCACCGACCCCAACCCCUCAAUUAUGAGUUCUCUCUAACUCCAUAAUUAGGUUGUUGGUGAGCCUCGAACCCAGGACCUCACCCUUUAACAGCAUUCCCACAGGACAAGCUGUCACCAAUUGAUCUGCAGAUCAAUUGGUGACAGCUUGUCCUGUGGGAAUGCUGUUAAAGGGUGAGGUCCUGGGUUCGAGGCUCACCAACAACCUAAUUAUGGAGUUAGAGAGAACUCAUAAUAGAGGGGUUGGGGUCGGUGCGCUGCAGCGCUGUGAGCCUGGGGCCCAAGGGGCGGGUAGUUCCCGUGCUUUGGCCUCACUCACACGCUAUCGCGAAUCACUUCCCGAUAGGUCACCCAUCCUUCCACUACUCCAGCUCAAGCACGCUUAACUCUGGAGUUCUUUCAGGAUGUGCUCCGGGUUGUUACAAUUUCAGCAUGGGAAAAGGUCGGGUGGUGAUUGCAGGGUCAGUAAACAAUGAUUUCGAGCCUUUGGAAAAUUAACGGACCGACCGUCAGACGGGAUGGGGCCCACGGGCCGAGAGAGCGGGCGUGGGUGGCCUAUUAGCCGUGGGCGGGUCGGGACGUUACAAGUGGUAUCAGAGCUGGUUAGCCGUCUCAGUUCCGACCUGAGAGGCGUCUUGAGACCUGUCGGGGGCGCAACGAGGACGUUGCGUUCUUUGAGAGGGGGUGAAUUGUAACAUCCCGAGUUGUGAUAUGUGAAAAAGGCUUAAGAGAAUUGAUUUGGCUACCUAUGUCACCAAAGUUGACUUACCUUUUCCGGAACACAUCCUGAAAGAAUUCCAGAGUUAAGCGUGCUUGAGCUGGAGUAGUGGAAGGAUGGGUGACCUAUCGGGAAGUGAUUCGCGAUAGCGUGCGAGUGAGGCCAAAGCAUGGGAAAAGGUCGGGUGGUGAUUGCAGGGUCAGUAAACAAUGAUUUCGAGCCUUUGGAAAAUUAACGGACCGACCGUCAGACGGGAUGGGGCCCACGGGCCGAGAGAGCGGGCGUGGGUGGCCCAUUAGCCGUGGGCGGGUCGGGGCGUUAUAGUGAUACCCUCCCAAGUACAACAAUCGCUGCUAUUCCGCCAUGAUUCCGUUUUCGGAUGACGCUUUACUAUAUCAUCAUCAAAAUAACAAUCAUAAGCAAAGGAAGAGUUUAGAACCUCAAACUCGUUCUUCAACAGAAGAAGUGCAUCCCUUUGAUCCGGACGACACAAGUGCGUAGUUGGAACCGCAGACACGUCCCCAUAACUGUAGCCGAAUAAAAAAAGUAUAGAAAGAGUAAGAGAAAUGGUACUCGUUAAGUUCCAAAAGCCUUUCAUUCUUCUUUAAGCUUAUUUAACUUUCUUGAAUAUCAAAAACUGAAAGAGCAAAAAGAAAAGGGAAAUUGGUGAUGAGUAACAUGCUUCCAUGGCCAUUUCUUUAUAUACACAAUAAUAGACUCUGUAUUUACUCCACACAAAACAAAAUCCACAGAGAAAAAUACAUUAUUCGUCACGUCGAAAGCAAAAUCUUUGUGUCGGAUAGUCAAUUUUCUACACAUAUUGGUCCCCUACACUAAUUACAUGAAUUUUCAAAAAAAAAAGAAUUGUCUAAACCAAAGAAGACGUAAUUUAGGUUUAUAUUUGGAUUUAAACUAAGAGCACCCGCAAUGGGAAUCUUUAAGGAUGAGUCCUUAGGAAAAAAAUAAUUAAAUAAUCGGUGAAUCCCACCAAAAGUUAAGGAUUCAAUCUUUAAAAUUCCUAAAUAAGGACUCUUUUUUAGUGAAUCCUUGCACUAUUUGCGGGUCCCGACGACAUGUGGCGAUUCGCGAUUGGUUGAUAUUUAUUUUUUUUUAUCUAAAAAAAUAAAAUAAAUAAUAAUACUUAAAAAAUCAAAAUAUAUUUUUUCUAAAGAUUCGCCUUUGAGUAACACUAUUGUGGGUGCUCUAACGUAUACUACGACCCAUGCAUAUUGACCCAAAAGUACUAACGUUUACGAUUACGAGACCCAUGCAUAUUUGCAUAUAAUGUAGUCUUUCGAUUUGAUAGUACAAGUUUUAUCUUUUUUACUUAUUCUAUUUAAAAAUUCAAGAUUUUAUGACAUUCCUUGCUUUAAAAAAAGAACUAAUUUAACUACUAAACUAGCGUAAUUUUGAUAGAAUUUCAAAAUAAGAAUCAUGCAUCUCCUAUAUUAAUAAGAAGAAAACAAACAUCAACCUUUUCAAAAAAAAUCAACGGCGAACGGUCUUAUUUUUAUUUUUGGUUUAUUCCUCGUGACUUCCAAAAUGAAAAAUAUAUGCAAAAUGACAAAAAGAUUAAACUCUUUACUAAGAAUCAAUCAAAAUGAACAAAAAUAUCAAUCUGCAUGAGAACAUUCUUCAUAACAGAAAAAUCAACUCUUCGUCGUGAAUGUACCGGCGAUCGAGCCAUAUGGCCCAUAUCAUAGUGAGUACAUUCUUCAACUAAUAUUCCUCAGGGCGAGAUCGUCAGGAAGAAACCAAGAUUUUACUCGAUCGCUUUCUUUUUGUUUCUUCAAUAUAUGGCUGUAGUAACCAAAAACAAAUAAAUAAAUGUUGAUGAACCAAUCAGUUUCCGCAUUUUUUUCUUUCUCACGUCAAUAAUAACAAGUUUUGGUGAUAAUCAUCUCACUUUCAUUAGAUAAAAUAUACAGAAAAGAGACAACUAGUGAUGAGAAACCAAAACUUCCAUACGGAAGAGGCUCGUUCAGAUUUUCUUAUUAUGUUUUUCCCCACUUUCUAGAUUAAUGUAAUUUUGUAAUAUACAUUAUUAAUCGUUUCAUAUAUAGUUUCAAGCAACCUACGAGAGACUUCCAAGUCCACAAGAAGGUUAGGGGAAUCAUCUACCUUCAUCCAUGAACCAUCUUCACCACGCGGUUGAACCACGAAGCUGACUCCUUUCACGUCAGAAUCUACCACCAGCUCCGAAACGUAAUAGGCUGGUACGUGAGACACUCCUAGGAACACUCUCUCGCUUCUUGGUUUCUCCAGAACCUUUCUUGAUCUUAGUACAUCAGUUGACUUCACAUUCUCUGCAUACACAUUGUACACUGGGAGAACAGAGUCUUCAAGCUGUGUCUGUCUCCAUUCUAGCUUAACCUUAAGGAUCCUAGAACCGGAUUUACCCAGUACAAGCUCUAAGUUAUGAGCCUCGAUUACCCAUGAUGUCGCUGGAGGUAAGGAAACGAGGUUUUGCUGGAGUAGCUGAACAUGAUGAUCUUUGAUUGAGAUGUGAUCCAUGAUUCCCUCCUCCGUUAUAAGAUGCCUCUCUAGUACUAAACAAAUUCAUGUGCUCACCGUUAUACGUUUGCAAACAAAUAGUGAGCUGAAUGAUAUCAGUGUUGUCUUCCUUGAACUCUAGGAUUGGCUAACAUUAAUAACACAACAAAGGCACCCAUCAGAUGAGAGAAGAGACAAAAUAUUAUAUGCGCAGUUAAAGCGAGGACGAUAAGAUGGUUGAACCUGAAGACUUUGGCAAGAAAUGUUGUACCAUGGAGCAUCAGAUAACUGGCGACCCUCGAGUGAAACAUGGUAACCAAAGCUCUGGAUAAACGAGAAAAGAUAUUUUCAGAACAUAACUUAACAUAAAUCAUCGCCAAGACAGUCGAUGUAUACUUUACCUGAUUGAAGUCAGAGUAAAAAGGCAAGACUUGUGGAUAUGUUUGGACUACUCCCCAUGACUUCUCAACAAGUGACCACCAUCUGAAGGGAAAACGAAUGAACGAUAAUAAGAUGACAAAGAAAUGCCAAUUUAUUUUACAAGCAAACAGACAAAAGAAGUAAUACUUAUUCUGAGCUGUAUGAAAAUUAGGAGGCUGUGCAGUCUCAUAUACCCAUCCAGGAGCGAAAAUGGCAGCUGAUACAUUGUUUCUCUUCAGCAAAUCAAGAGCAGUAUUAACCUAUAAUAUAUAGAUUAAUGAGACAAUGAUUGAAUCUUUAAGCUUCUGAGAUUUCAGAUUGUUGAUUUGGAACCAUAUCUUUGAGCAUCUACUCAAUUGAGUUGAAUUGUGUUGUUGUUGUACAGGGAAGAAGUUGUAGAGAUUAGAUUGUGGAGAAGCUAUGGUAGAGCAAUGGUUGGAUCUGAGAAGAGAGCUCAGCUCAUGGAGAUUGGAGAAACUGUUAUUAUUCUUACUCACUAGGUUUCAAGUUAGAGUAAUGCUUUUUUUUUUUGUGUUUACUUAUCUUAUUUAGGGUACAUUGGUAGCAAAGCAGAUUGGUGAAAGAAACUCUUGUAGUAAUCUGACAGACAUAUCAACAUGUACUUUUGUCAAGUGUUUAAUGUAUUAUCGUUUGUGUAUCAAUGCCUGCAGUUCCAAAUAGAGUUUUUUUCUCCUUUUUUGUUAUCAGCAAUUAGUCUUUUGCGUAAUCAGGUCUCAAAGUUCUCUUUCCAGGACAAUGUACAUCAGAGACAUUCAUGUUCUUCCAUAAUUUACGUUUGGAAGACCAAACCCACCAAGCUAUUGUUUGGCUGUUUGCUUAUAUGACUUUGCAUCAAUCUUUAUCGUGUUGAAGCUCACGCAUCUUCUUCUGAAGAAGAUUGUUUCUGUAGAUUAAUAAAGAAGGGAACAGAAUGGGGGCAAGGCAUGGGCCUAUUCAUCAUUUGUGUUGGCUUGAUCUUUUCAUUGCUACUUACAUGAUUGGCUCGUGGGUUCGAGUCCAAGCUCGUAGGUCACACACAUCAUGAUCAUGUAGUGGCUUAUCUUUGAGAUUUUGGUAUUGAGCUUUAAGUAUAAUGUUGAAAAAUCAAAGGAUAACGUACCAGAGGGAUUGUGAAAGUGACCAAUCAGUUGGCUGUUUCUUUUUUGAGAUCGUGGACACCAAAACAAAGAGAAGCAAGACUUGGAUUCGAUUAAAAAGUCAGUCAAGAAAAAUAUAAAAAGAAAGAUCCAAGAGGAAUUUUCUUAUAAAAUGGAUAAUGAUCGUUAAACCCAAAUUUUAGUUGAGUAUAUAUAUAUUUAGUUAUUGUUAAUUGUUAAUUUAGAUUAUACAUAUUUAAUCAAACAAUCAAAGGUUGAAAUAGAAACAAGAGAGUGUGGACAUGAAGAAAACAAGACCCCUUUAGGCCUUUACUAGCCAUUUCUCUUCCUCUUCUACUCAUCAUUCAUUAUCAAUGAGAAUAUUACCAAUCACAAGAUAAAUCAACGCAAACUUUUUUUUUUUUUUUUUGUAUUGUCACAUUCGAAAAUCAUAAGCUUAAAACCUUUUGAACUUUGUAUAUACACAAAAUGGAAUCUUGAUAAUUAUAUUUGCAAAGUUUAUAGUUUCUAUGAGUUAAUGUGUCUCAUUGAUAUGAACAAUCGAAAUAUCCAUAUAUAAUAUGUACAUCCUUUUCUAAAGCGCUGUGUAACUGUGUUGAUUAUAGCUUUUAUCUGGAUCAUCUGUUCAUUGCUCAUCUCACGUCUAAACAGUUGAUGUUAAGAUUCACAAGAGGGGAAAAGACGACACAUCUUUGACUGUGCUUGUAAUUUUCAGCGUAAGAAACAUAGUUGUUGUUCAAUUACAGAGAAACAAAGAAAUUUGCUAAAACGUAAAAAAAAAUAGAGAUAGAGAAAAAACACACCAAGCUAAACCAGAAACGAUAUCCCAAAUCUUAUUUGAAAUUAUGAUAGACAUAGUAAUUGCUUCGGAUUUCAUCUUUCAGAUUCCGCAGGUAGCUUAUAAAAGACCUGUACCAAAAAAAGAAAAGGUUAACUCAGGUGAUUUCACUAUUAAUAUUUUUGUUUCUUCAAAUGUUUGCUAACAAGUUGACUUAAAACUCUAGAAUAUAUUACCUCUUUAAUGAGUUGUGCUGCUGCUGAUUCUGCGCUUGUUUCGGGCAAAAGGGUCGAUGAACCACUCUGGUUUGUAGGAAAAGAGUAUGUAACCAAUCACCCAUCCAAAGGCAAUACCAGGUAUGACUCCUAUUACAGCUGCUAUCCAACUCAACACCUCUUCUUCUUCUUCAUCCUCUGAUUCCGGUGUUUCAUGCGGUGUUGGCAUGUGGAUAUCUCUGCAAUCUUCGUCAAGAGAAGGGCCAAAAAGUCCCGGAUUAUCCUCAA
Molecule: long non-coding RNA, 10832 nt
Filed under: Brassica rapa (field mustard)
Lineage: Eukaryota; Viridiplantae; Streptophyta; Magnoliopsida; Brassicales; Brassicaceae
Description: long non-coding RNA (BRAP_LNC000730)
Source: RNAcentral